RNAcentral lists this ribosomal RNA (497 nucleotides) under uncultured bacterium. Its description in RNAcentral is "partial 16S ribosomal RNA". It matches the Rfam family "Bacterial small subunit ribosomal RNA", at positions 28 to 507 of the family's 1533-position model. The record is from RNAcentral.
GAUGAACGCUGGCGGCGUGCCUAAUACAUGCAAGUCGAGCGAACAGACGAGGAGCUUGCUCCUCUGACGUUAGCGGCGGACGGGUGAGUAACACGUGGAUAACCUACCUAUAAGACUGGGAUAACUUCGGGAAACCGGAGCUAAUACCGGAUAAUAUAUUGAACCGCAUGGUUCAAUAGUUAAAGACGGUUUUGCUGUCACUUAUAGAUGGAUCCGCGCCGCAUUAGCUAGUUGGUAAGGUAACGGCUUACCAAGGCGACGAUGCGUAGCCGACCUGAGAGGGUGAUCGGCCACACUGGAACUGAGACACGGUCCAGACCCCAACGGGAGGCAGCAGUAGGGAAUCUUCCGCAAUGGGCGAAAGCCUGACGGAGCAGCGCCGCGUGAGUGAUGAAGGUCUUCGGAUCGUAAAACUCUGUUAUUAGGGAAGAACAAAUGUGUAAGUAACUAUGCACGUCUUGACGGUACCUAAUCAGAAAGCCACGGCUAACUACGUG